GACGAACGCUGGCGGCGUGUCUAAUACAUGCAAGUAGAACGCACAGUUUAUACCUUAGCUUGCUACACCAUAAACUGUGAGUUGCGAACGGGUGAGUAACGCGUAGCUAACCUGCCUGGUAGCUGGGGAUAACUAUUGGUAACGCUAGCUAAUACCUCAUACUAUUUAUUAUUGCAUGGUAAUUUUUUGAAAGAUGCUAUUGCAUCACUACCUGUUGGCCCUUCGUUGUAUUAGCUAGUAGGUGAGGUAACGGCUCACCUAGGCGACGAUACAUAGCCGACCUGAGAGGGUGAUCGGCCACACUGGGAGGGAGACACGGCCCAGACUGCUACGGGAGGCAGCAGGAGGGAAUCGUCGGGAAUGGACGAAAGUCAGACCGAGAAACGCCGCGGGAGUGAAGAAGGUUGUCGGAUGGUAAAGCACUGUUGUAAGGGAAGAACGGGUGUGAGAGUGGAAAGUACAGAGUGUGACGGUAUCGUACAAGAAAGGGACGGCUAACUACGUG
This 505-nucleotide ribosomal RNA is filed under the name uncultured bacterium. RNAcentral's name for it is "partial 16S ribosomal RNA". It matches the Rfam family "Bacterial small subunit ribosomal RNA", at positions 28 to 507 of the family's 1533-position model. The record is from RNAcentral.